CUUCGGGAGAAGGGGUGCCAACGAGAGUUGGCCGCAGAGAAUAGGCUCAAGCAACUGUUUAGACAAAAACACAGGUCUAUGCAAACGUAAGGUGAGGUAUAUGGGCUGACGCCUGCCCGGUGCUGGAAGGUUAAGAGGAGAGGUUAGCGCAAGCGAAGCUUUGAAUUUAAGCCCCAGUAAACGGCGGCCGUAACUAUAACGGUCCUAAGGUAGCGAAAUUCCUUGUCGGGUAAGUUCCGACCCGCACGAAAGGCGUAAUGAUUUGAGCGCUGUCUCGACAAUGCAUCCGGUGAAAUUGAAGUACCAGUGAAGAUGCUGGUUACCCGCGCCAGGACGGAAAGACCCCAUGGAGCUUUACUCCAGUUUGGUACUGGGGUCCGGCAGUGCAUGUACAGGAUAGGUGGGAGGCUGUGAACCUGGAACGCCAGUUUCAGGGGAGCCAUUGUUGGGAUACCACCCUUGUGCUGCUGGGCUUCUAACCAGCGGCCUUUAUCAGGCCGGGGGACAAUGCCAGACGGGGAGUUUGACUGGGGC
Molecule: ribosomal RNA, 534 nt
Filed under: uncultured bacterium
Lineage: Bacteria
Description: bacterial LSU rRNA
Rfam family: Bacterial large subunit ribosomal RNA
Source: RNAcentral